UACGGAGGAUGCGAGCGUUAUCCGGAUUUAUUGGGUUUAAAGGGUGCGCAGGCGGAUUUUUAAGUCAGCGGUCAAAUCGUGGGGCUCAACCCCAUCCAGCCGUUGAAACUGGGGAUCUAGAGUGUGCGAGAGGUAUGCGGAAUGCGUGGUGUAGCGGUGAAAUGCAUAGAUAUCACGCAGAACCCCCGAUUGCGAAGGCAGCAUACCGGUGCACAACUGACGCUCAGGCACGAAAGCGUGGGUAUCGAACAGG
This 253-nucleotide ribosomal RNA is filed under the name uncultured bacterium. Its description in RNAcentral is "partial 16S ribosomal RNA". It matches the Rfam family "Bacterial small subunit ribosomal RNA", at positions 524 to 776 of the family's 1533-position model. The record is from RNAcentral.